This is a long non-coding RNA of Salvia miltiorrhiza (redroot sage), 3310 nucleotides long. RefSeq lists it as uncharacterized. The transcript is spliced from 2 exons. The record is from RefSeq and is a predicted model, not a curated record. NCBI's taxonomy places the organism in Eukaryota, Viridiplantae, Streptophyta, Magnoliopsida, Lamiales, Lamiaceae.
UACUCAUCAGCGCUGUGCUUGGCAAUACAAGAAUAUCUUACUUGAUUACUAUUAUUGUUAUUAUUAUUCUUAUUGAACGAAGCCAACCAACGCAGGUUUAAUUGAAGACCUCAGAUAAUAAAAGGACUCGGCAGCGCAGACGAAGGGACUUGGCGGCGCAGACUACCCAAGUUACGUGGCAGCACAGACUCGCCUGCGCAGCUCAAGGGAGCUACUCAACACGGGCAACAAAGGACAGCGCAGAUGGGUCAAAUCAAGACUAAGGUGUAUUAAGGCAUUAAAGGGGCCUGAAUCCAAUUAUUAGAGUUCAUGGGCCUAGGGCCUUUAGGGCUCAUUCUCACAUCUAUAAAUAGAAGGUUAGCAUUAGCAUUAGAGGAUCAUGAUUUAUUUCUGAGCAACACUUGUAAUAUGUAAAUACUCUCUCAAAGUAUAGUGAAACCAGCGAAGAACUCCCGUGGACGUAGAUCAUUUAUGAUCGAACCACGUACAUCUUGUCUCGUUUAUCGUUUCUUAAUUAGGGUAAAGUUUCUUGUUUCAUCAACUGGCGCCGUCUGUGGGAAAUUGAGCUAAGGCGUGAGAUUCAUCAUUUUUCCGGGUUACUGUUCAUCGAGAGGUUUCUGUUAGAUUACUGUUCAUUCAAAAAAUCAUCAUUUUUGGCGUUACUGUUCAUCGAAGUCGGGAUCCGAUCCAAUCUGUCAACAAAAAAAAAAUUCAAAAGGGAAAAGGGGGGGCCAAUUACUGUUCGUGGUGAGGUUUCUUCAAAAAUUAAGGGAUUCCGAUAUGUUAUUGGGUUUUUCCAGUUUCCGGGGAGAGGGUCGCUGAUCUUUCUUCUCCAUAAAAUUUCUCUAGGUAGUUCCCGAAAUCGAUCAAAAUAGGAUUCACCAUCAUCUCUCAAACGUUGAUUUUCGAUCAAUUCCUCUCUAAAAUACCUGCGAAUCUACGUCCCCGAUCUGCAAUCGCGUGCCAGAAUAUGAAGCACUGCCCACCUCUCUCAUUCUUCCUCAAUCAAGGUCGUCCAUCUCUCUCUCUGAAUCGAAAGGCCGCCCACUAAGCCAUCUCUCACGCUCGCUCUAUCUUCUCACUGGUUCCGCCGUGAACUGCUCCGGCGAAGCCGUUCCAGGCCAAGGACGACGCGACUCAUCCGUUUUCCCUUCUCAAACCAGUAAACGGUCGACCUCAUUUCUGACACAGGUUAAAACCUAGCUUCUUCCCUGUCCGAACGGCUCACCGCCGACCAAGGGAUGCCCUGCCUCUAUCGGAAGAUCGUCGCCCUCCUCCGGCUGAGCACGCAAGAUACUCUCUACGGAUGGUCAAUGAUCCACUGCGCGACCACGCUGCUGUCACCGACGCAGUCGUCGUUGGGCGGCGCGCUGCGAAGCACCGAUGUUUUUGGGCGAUCAAAUUUCAGCAAAUAUUGCUGCCUUUUCUGAGUUCUCAAUCGCCGAUGGCCGCUGUGCCUCUUAUAAUUUCUAGCAGGGUACAGCGCAGCGCCGUUGCGCACGUCGCUGGCAGCCAGGGUAACUCUGGUUGUUUGAGGUUUUCGGGCUGAAGGGUGAAUCCUCCAGCUGUGAGCCCCCUUUACUUUGCUCUUAAUCUCAAAUGGGGAUGGAGCCUUGUGCUUGUGCUAGCGUUACAUGGCUGUUUGCAGUACAGAAGAGGGACUGAUGCCUACUGGAAUCACUCCGGCGAGAGAUUUUACGACUUUGAGAGGGAGGAUUUCUAUUUGUUAGAGUUUCUCUCAAUUAGUAUCAUGUUAAGCUCAACCAUUGUUGGACUUAUCUUAUUUUGGUUUGCUUAAUUUUUGCCUCGAGGUUCUGCUUGAUGUGAGUCCUUUGAAGAAGAGUGGAUCGGAUGAAAAUAGGGGAUGGUCGGAGUUUCAGAGGGAGAUUGUGCAGAUUGUGGUUGUCCCCAACUGAGAUCAUUUCUAGAGCCGCAACAACCCGCGCCUCAGGCGAUUGCCAGAUUCGUCAUCCACGGCCAACAUCAGCCAUCUCGCCCGCCAGCAAGUCGGUGGUCGUCAUCAUCGUGCUCUAGCACCGGAGUUCGUCCCCUCUUGCACCGGGCUCUGGAGCCCCUGAUUUUGUCGUCAAAUUGACCCGAGUCGAAGAUACCAAAGCUGACCUCUGUGCUCUAGUCACCGGUUAUCGCACCCGGGGUUCUGGAGAUUGCUCGCUGCCGGCCACGAAUCGCCGCUUCUUUGCAACCAGGGAAUUCCCGCUUCCUUCCGAGCAUCGAAGAACUCCUCAGCAGGGCACCAGCGAAGGGAACUUUUGGCACCCUCCGCCGCGCUAUUAAGGAGAAGCUCCAGCGCAACUCUUAGCAUCUGAAUUCCGGUGCAACUCGGGGGAAAACCCCCCAAUUCUCGGAAAUCAAUAUAUAUUUCUUAACAAUUUCAUGUAAAUCCCAGUGAAUCCUGAUGAUUUUUGUGUUUCUCUGUGUUCCCCAACAAACUACUGAUAAUUUUGGGUGGUCAAAUUUCGGCAAACAUCACCGUUCUUCGUAUCUGGAUCCGCGGUGAGAAAGAUAUCAGUACCAAGGGAAAAAGUGGGAAUUGUUGAGUUCAACCAUCAGAUUGCCCUGAGAGCCCUUUGGGUCGAGCCUCACGAAAUUCUAGGUGAAGGUCAAACUCUGUUUCUAGGCCGUGAACCACUUGAGCUCGUCACAGUCGCCUCCGUUGGCCAGCCACGUCUUGGGCUGCAUCAUCAUAACUUUCUUGUACAGGCACAACACCUCAUAGUUGUUCAUUUUCGGCCCUCUGCUCGCCGGCAUCCCGAAGCUGCACAGAACUCCCUCCGUCCAAUCACCCAUUACUCAUACAAAAGUUCAAGCUCGUGUCUCAAUUCCUUGUUCUGAUGUUGCCAAUCUGGGAACUAGAAUUUGAGGGAACUGCUGGUUGUUUGUUCCAUUUCCCCCCUUAGGGGAUCGAGGCGAAUGGAAGCUCAUUUUUUCUCAAACUUGGGACAGCUGCAGCUACUCCUCAGUUCACUCGACAAUUGAGAUGCCUAUUUUUCUCUCUUAAUUCUUUCUCUCUUAUUUAUUUCUCUCUUUGAAUUAAUUAGGGAAAUAUAAAUUCAAAGUGACAUGUGUGAUUGUUCUCUUAUAGGUGUUACCCUGCCUAUAUGCUACUGGAACAUCGAAUUAUUUGACUUGCUUGUUGUGCUUAGGUGUUGGCUUCUUAUCAUGAGUUAAGAAGUUUCAAAACAUAUGUUUCAUAGUUGAGCAUGUCCACGUGAUUCUUAGGAAGAGUGAGACAAGCGAUGACUAUUGUAAUUUGAUUGGUUGGAUUACAAUGCAGGGAAACAUAUCUGCA